Nannospalax galili (Upper Galilee mountains blind mole rat) is the source of this 1327-nucleotide long non-coding RNA. RefSeq lists it as uncharacterized. The transcript is spliced from 4 exons. NCBI's taxonomy places the organism in Eukaryota, Metazoa, Chordata, Mammalia, Rodentia, Spalacidae. The record is from RefSeq and is a predicted model, not a curated record.
CUGACGUCUGUCCUCCGGGCCCAGAGGCUGGGCUGCAUUCAUCUCCUUCCUGACUGGAAGCGGGGCCAGGAGUGCUGCUAGCCAAGGUCAGUGGUUCUCCUGCCCUCUUGGCCAUGAUGAUUGGUUCCAGGAGCCACUUGUCAUCUGAUCAGAGUCAUCAGAGUAGACAGACGAAUUCAUGGGAGCCAUCUGUGUAAAGGAGUUGCAUUUUGGAGACGUGCCAUGGUGUCACCUCUGUGUCACUGGUGCUCCAUCAAGCGACCUGAGUGACACCAAUGAAGGCAGAAUUGAGAGAGGCAGACAUGGAGCUCUGAGGAGCUCACCUGGGCACCUGGAUCAAACCACACCUGAAGCAAUCCACAUGUACUCUUCACACUCAUUUUUGUUUUUGCUGUCUCCACUCAGCUCACUCUUUCCCUCAAGAGACUGACAAGACUGACAGUCUGGUGGGCUCAAUGGCCAGGCUGGCACCCCAGACAGCAGCCUUCUUCCUUCCUUUUGGGCACAGCCAUUGAGUGGCUUUUGCAGAUGAGGAGAACAUCACCUGACCUGUCUGUGAGGACCAGAGGUGAGAAGACCCAGACCUGGAAACCAAUCUUUCUUAAGCUUGAGUAACUCUCUAAGGACUUCGGGUAUCACCUGAAGUGUCCUGGGAUGGUGCCAUGGAGGAAAUGAAGAUGUGGGAGCCAGUGCGGCAGCCAAGCACAGUUGUCUUCUGCCCUGCUGGUAUAGCCAGGGGCCUUCAGGCAAGUUCGUCCACCUCUCUAAGCCUUUCCCUGUGUCCUAUGGAAAUGAGACCUCCCCUACCCUCCAAGAUGAGAUCAUCCCAGGUCAACUGACAGCCAGGCCUUCCCCUGGACAUGUAAGCAGCCCAGAUGAGUGCAAAAGAACCAGCCAACCAAACCUAAUCUACACCACCAACUGCAGACUGGUGAGUUCAGUAUGCACUUGUAAUUUAUACCAGUACAUUUAGGGAUGUUUGUUCCACAGCUUUACUCUGGCGAUGGUGACUGAUACUCCCUCACCUGUCUGCUAAUUCUAUCUUCUAGAUAUCUCCUUGUUCCCCUCCCUACCUUCCUCCUUCCUGGUGUCACUCUGAUCUAAGUCACCAUCAUGAUUAAUCUCAGUUGUCACCUUGAGAUCUAGAUGAGAUCUAGAAUCACCUCGAAGAGGAGUAUCUGGCUAUGCUGGGGGAUGGGGUCAUCUUGACUAGGUUAAUUGAGGUGGAAAGCCCUCCCACUGUGGGACAGUGUCUUUUGUUAUAAAAGGAAACUUCAAGCUCCUGUCCAUCAGGAUGAACUGCAACUGAACUGUGAGCUAAAAUAAA